UUUGGUUAUAGAUGGAAAGUGGGCAUGGGGACUCAAAUCAGAUUCUGGGAAGAUACCUGGUUUGGUACUUCACCAUUGGCGGUUCAAUUUUGGUCGGUUUAUACGGUUUGUAAUGAGCAGUCUAAAAGCAUUAGAGAAGUGUGGGAUGGGGAAAACCUC
This 159-nucleotide ribosomal RNA is filed under the name Triticum aestivum (bread wheat). RNAcentral describes it as "partial small subunit ribosomal RNA". The record is from RNAcentral. Lineage: Eukaryota; Viridiplantae; Streptophyta; Magnoliopsida; Poales; Poaceae.